This 456-nucleotide ribosomal RNA is filed under the name uncultured bacterium. RNAcentral describes it as "bacterial SSU rRNA". It matches the Rfam family "Bacterial small subunit ribosomal RNA", at positions 28 to 450 of the family's 1533-position model. The record is from RNAcentral.
GAUGAACGCUGGCGGCGUGCUUAAUACAUGCAAGUCGAACGAAGCAUCUCGCCCGAUGAUUGACCUAGCUUGCUAGAGAUUGAUUCAACUGAGAUGACUGAGUGGCGGACGGGUGAGUAACGCGUGGGUAACCUGCCUUAUACAGGGGGAUAACAGUUGGAAACGACUGCUAAUACCGCAUAAGCGCACAGUACCGCAUGGUACCGUGUGAAAAACUCCGGUGGUAUAAGAUGGACCCGCGUCUGAUUAGCUAGUUGGUAAGGUAACGGCUUACCAAGGCAACGAUCGGUAGCCGACUUGAGAGAGUGAUCGGCCACAUUGGGACUGAGACACGGCCCAAACUCCUACGGGAGGCAGCAGUAGGGAAUAUUGCACAAUGGGGGAAACCCUGAUGCAGCGACGCCGCGUGAAGGAUGAAGUAUUUCGGUAUGUAAACUUCUAUCAGCAAGGAAGAAA